CAGUAGCCGCGGGAAAACAGAGGGUGCAAGCGUUAAUCGGAAUUACUGGGCGUAAAGCGCGCGUAGGUGGUUCGCCAAGUUGGAUGUGAAAUCCCCGGGCUCAACCUGGGAACUGCAUCCAAAACUGGCGAGCUAGAGUAUGGUAGAGGGUGGUGGAAUUUCCUGUGUAGCGGUGAAAUGCGUAGAUAUAGGAAGGAACAUCAGUGGCGAAGGCGACCACCUGGACUGAUACUGACACUGAGGUGCGAAAGCGUGGGGAGCAAACAGGAUUAGAUACCCCAGUAGUCCCUGUCUCUUAUAC
RNAcentral lists this ribosomal RNA (301 nucleotides) under uncultured bacterium. RNAcentral's name for it is "partial 16S ribosomal RNA". It matches the Rfam family "Bacterial small subunit ribosomal RNA", at positions 509 to 807 of the family's 1533-position model. The record is from RNAcentral.